UCCGGAAUUAUUGGGCGUAAAGCGCGCGCAGGCGGUUUCUUAAGUCUGAUGUGAAAGCCCCCGGCUCAACCGAGGGAGGGUCAUUGGAAACUGGGUGAACUUGAGUGCAGAAGAGGAGAAUGGAAUUCCACGUGUAGCGGUGAAAUGCGUAGAGAUGUGGAGGAACACCAGUGGCGAAGGCGACUCUCUGGUCUGUAACUGACGCUGAGGCGCGAAAGCGUGGGGAGCGAACAGGAUUAGAUACCCUGGUAGUCCACGCCGUAAACGAUGAGUGCUAAGUGUUAGAGGGUUUCCGCCCUUUAGUGCUGCAGCAAACGCAUUAAGCACUCCGCCUGGGGAGUACGGUCGCAAGACUGAAACUCAAAGGAAUUGACGGGGGCCCGCACAAGCGGUGGAGCAUGUGGUUUAAUUCGAAGCAACGCGAAGAACCUUACCAGGUCUUGACAUCCUCUGACAACCCUAGAGAUAGGGCUUCCCCUUCGGGGGCAGAGUGACAGGUGGUGCAUGGUUGUCGUCAGCUCGUGUCGUGAGAUGUUGGGUUAAGUCCCGCAACGAGCGCAACCCUUGAUCUUAGUUGCCAGCAUUCAGUUGGGCACUCUAAGGUGACUGCCGGUGACAAACCGGAGGAAGGUGGGGAUGACGUCAAAUCAUCAUGCCCCUUAUGACCUGGGCUACACACGUGCUACAAUGGGCAGAACAAAGGGCAGCGAAGCCGCGAGGCUAAGCCAAUCCCACAAAUCUGUUCUCAGUUCGGAUCGCAGUCUGCAACUCGACUGCGUGAAGCUGGAAUCGCUAGUAAUCGCGGAUCAGCAUGCCGGGGGAAAAACCUUUCCCGGGCCCUUGUACACACCCGCCCGUCACACCACGAAGAGUUUGUAACACCCGAAGUCGGUGAGGUAACCUUUUUGGAGCCAGCCGCCGAAGGUGGGACAGAUGAUUGGGGUGA
Molecule: ribosomal RNA, 946 nt
Filed under: Bacillus licheniformis
Lineage: Bacteria; Bacillati; Bacillota; Bacilli; Caryophanales; Bacillaceae
Description: bacterial SSU rRNA
Rfam family: Bacterial small subunit ribosomal RNA
Source: RNAcentral